Molecule: non-coding RNA, 72 nt
Organism: Colletotrichum sp. SAR 10_75
Lineage: Eukaryota; Fungi; Ascomycota; Sordariomycetes; Glomerellales; Glomerellaceae
Source: the annotation of a GenBank genome assembly
UCCGAUAUGGUGUAAUGGCUAACAUUUGACGCUCUCACCGUCAAGCUCCGAGUUCGAUUCUCGGUGUCGGAA